UGCAGUCGAGCGACAGAUAAGGAGCUUGCUCCUUUGACGUUAGCGGCGGACGGGUGAGUAACACGUGGAUAACCUACCUAUAAGACUGGGAUAACUUCGGGAAACCGGAGCUAAUACCGGAUAACAUAUUGAACCGCAUGGUUCAAUAGUGAAAGGCGGCUUUGCUGUCACUUAUAGAUGGAUCCGCGCCGUAUUAGCUAGUUGGUAAGGUAACGGCUUACCAAGGCAACGAUACGUAGCCGACCUGAGAGGGUGAUCGGCCACACUGGAACUGAGACACGGUCCAGACUCCUACGGGAGGCAGCAGUAGGGAAUCUUCCGCAAUGGGCGAAAGCCUGACGGAGCAACGCCGCGUGAGUGAUGAAGGUCUUCGGAUCGUAAAACUCUGUUAUCAGGGAAGAACAAAUGUGUAAGUAACUGUGCACAUCUUGACGGUACCUGAUCAGAAAGCCACGGCUAACUACGUGCCAGCAGCCGCGGUAAUACGUAGGUGGCAAGCGUUAUCCGGAAUUAUU
This 515-nucleotide ribosomal RNA is filed under the name Staphylococcus warneri. RNAcentral's name for it is "bacterial SSU rRNA". It matches the Rfam family "Bacterial small subunit ribosomal RNA", at positions 56 to 555 of the family's 1533-position model. The record is from RNAcentral. Lineage: Bacteria; Bacillati; Bacillota; Bacilli; Caryophanales; Staphylococcaceae.